Molecule: long non-coding RNA, 751 nt
Organism: Triticum dicoccoides
Lineage: Eukaryota; Viridiplantae; Streptophyta; Magnoliopsida; Poales; Poaceae
Exons: 3
Source: RefSeq, a predicted model, not a curated record
AACUGAUGCUAUAACUUCUUAAACUACAGUUACAUGUAUAUCCGAGUCUGAAUCAGAUAACUCACAGUGCUCAUGUGUAUUUAUGUAUCAAGAUCACAUUUCCUGUUUAUAGAGUGGUGGGUGAAAAAGUUCAUCCGUUAGUGAAAGGAACAUUUACUCUUCUUUGUUUUAGUGCUGUCUCCCUACUUUUAUGGCAGAGAAUGGUGUGGCACCGAUGAUUGAUGGAGUAGGAUUUAACCAAGCUUGGUGUUACCAAGCUACACCCGUUAUCACCUGAAGUUAUCUCAUGCCAAGCGAGGAUCAACAUUGGAGAGCAGUUUCUUUCUGUAUGAGUGUGACACUGCUUGCAGAGUAAAAGGUCAUAGUGACAAUGCCGCUUGGACUGCUUCUGGACUUCCAUGGUGACACCAGGCUGUUCCAAGGCCAACCUGAGCUCCUCCUUGUGGUAAUGUUAGCCGACAAGCUUCUUCUACCUCAACUAUGUGGAUGUUCGCCGCAGAUCCGUGUGUUGCAACAUGCAAGCAAAUCAAAUGAAGGAGUGUGGACAAAGACAAAGUUAUAUAUCAAGCAAAUCGGAUGAAGGCGUGUGGACAAAGUUAUAUAUCUAAUGGUCAACCAUGUAGUUUACUACAGUAUUAUGCAGUAUAGAAAACAGUGUAAAUAAGUUAGCUGGGACUAAUACUAUGGCCUGCUUUUGGUUUCUAUCAUACCAAACUUUGCUUAGGUAUUUCAUGUCACAUUUUAUAACAAA